Oryctolagus cuniculus (rabbit) is the source of this 1218-nucleotide non-coding RNA. Lineage: Eukaryota; Metazoa; Chordata; Mammalia; Lagomorpha; Leporidae. The record is from RefSeq and is a predicted model, not a curated record.
UGGUGCCUAUUCUUAACACUGGUACCAUUCUGUUCUCAUCACUGUGGCUUUAGAGUAAGUCUUUAAAUCAGGAGAAAUGGAUGACCGUUUGCCUGGGAACUGCUUUGCAACAGAUGGUCAGCUCCUCAUUAUCAACGGGAGUUAGAGAUUGUUUCUCUGGAAGUCCAUCCUUAGACAAGACAGUGGCCAGCAGGCCUUGCUGGGGGAUGUGCUUACACCUGGAUGAUUCAUGAGCAAGCCUCUGGAUCACACUGGAAACUGCAACGCCAACUCCAAGAGACCUUGCUUCAGAAACUGCUGCCAAAGGCACAUUCUCUGUUACCAUGUCAGAAAUAAUUUACCACUAGAUGAAAGAUAUCAAAGUGGUCCCAAGGCAAGGAAAGGUGUGGGAAGAGUUCAGGUGCGGAAAGCAGGGGAAGGCUGAGAAACAUAUAAUCUGUCUGAAGAGUUAAAAUAUUUAAACAGCUAUAUCAAGACUUUUGAGGAUAUUGCAAGCAUUUUCUGGAAAAUCCAAGGAACAGGGCAGUAAAGAAAUCCACUCCAGUUUCAAAUUUUUGGCAAAAUAAUUUAUUCUGUAGGAGGAUAUGGCAACUUGCAAACAUGGAAAAUGGCAAAGCUUUGCAGAAUCUCACUCUGUACCUACAGGAGAAACAGUGAUGAAGUUGGGCUGGAAGACAACUCACAGCAGACAAAGACUGUGCAGCCUCAGGGCUGCGACAUCCAGAGGAGAACCUCCAGUGAAUCACCAUAUAUCCUUGACCUGGCCAACAUUUUGAACGACAACAGAGGCCCUAGACAUGGCAGAAGGGCAUUAUCAAGAAGAUGAAUAGGCCCUGUAGGUAGGUGGUAAGAAAGUAUAAAGAGCAUCUUUCUUGUACAGGUGAGAAACCUCUCGAACCUCAGUUUUCUGAUAUACAGAAUAAGAACAAUGGGAUUUGCCUUCCUCAAGUCAAACACUAGAAAACUUAAAUGACUCAUCACUCAUGCUUUAAAUAAACUUAAAGCAUUAUUAAUAAGUCUAUAGCAUUUUGCUGAUUACCACUGGAAAUACAAAUUAUUAUCAUUCAGUGUUUUUGUCACUUAGCUUGCAAAUCUACUUGUAAUUAGUUCCCUUUAUCUCAUUUCCAAAUAAGCAUUUUGUUAAAAACCUCAACAAAUUAUGCAGACCAUAUAAAUUGGGAUAUAUGUUCCUAAAGGUAUGAAUGUAUUUAUUUCAAA